This 497-nucleotide ribosomal RNA is filed under the name uncultured bacterium. Its description in RNAcentral is "partial 16S ribosomal RNA". It matches the Rfam family "Bacterial small subunit ribosomal RNA", at positions 28 to 507 of the family's 1533-position model. The record is from RNAcentral.
GAUGAACGCUGGCGGCGUGCCUAAUACAUGCAAGUCGAGCGAACGGACGAGAAGCUUGCUUCUCUGAUGUUAGCGGCGGACGGGUGAGUAACACGUGGAUAACCUACCUAUAAGACUGGGAUAACUUCGGGAAACCGAAGCUAAUCCCGGAUAUUAUUUUGAACGGCAGGGUUCAAAAGUGAAGGCCGUUCUUGCUGUACUUUAUAGAUGGAUCCGCGCUGCAUUAGCUAUUUGGUAAGGUAACGGCUUACCAAGGCAACGAUGCAUAGCCGACCUGAGAGGGUGAUCGGCCACACUGGAACUGAGACACGGUCCAGACUCCUACGGGAGGCAGCAGUAGGGAAUCUUGCGCGAUGGGCGAAAGCCUGACGGAGCAACGCCGCGUGAGUGAUGAAGGUCUUCGGAUCGUAAAACUCUGUUAUUAGGGAAGAACAUAUGUGUAAGUAACUGUGCACAUCUUGACGGUACCUAAUCAGAAAGCCACGGCUAACUACGUG